UACGAAGGGGGCUAGCGUUGCUCGGAAUCACUGGGCGUAAAGGGUGCGUAGGCGGGUCUUUAAGUCAGGGGUGAAAUCCUGGAGCUCAACUCCAGAACUGCCUUUGAUACUGAAGAUCUUGAGUUCGGGAGAGGUGAGUGGAACUGCGAGUGUAGAGGUGAAAUUCGUAGAUAUUCGGAAGAACACCAGUGGCGAAAGCGUGUUACUGGGUCUGCACUGACACUGAGGGACGAAAGCUAGGGGAGCGAAAGGG
This 253-nucleotide ribosomal RNA is filed under the name uncultured bacterium. RNAcentral's name for it is "partial 16S ribosomal RNA". It matches the Rfam family "Bacterial small subunit ribosomal RNA", at positions 524 to 776 of the family's 1533-position model. The record is from RNAcentral.